GAUGAACGCCUUCCGCUUUCCUCCUCCCUUCCCUUCGAUCUCCCAUACGAGGAGCUUUCUCCUCUUACGUUAGCGGCGGACGGGUGAGUAACACGUGGAUAACCUACCUAUAAGACUGGGAUAACUUCGGGAAACCGGAGCUAAUACCGGAUAAUAUAUUGAACCGCAUGGUUCAAUAGUGAAAGACGGUUUUGCUGUCACUUAUAGAUGGAUCCGCGCCGCAUUAGCUAGUUGGUAAGGUAACGGCUUACCAAGGCCACGAUGCGUAGCCGACCUGAGAGGGUGAGAGGCCACACUGGAACUGAGACACGGUCCAGACUCCUACGGGAGGCAGCAGUAGGGAAUCUUCCGCAAUGGGCGAAAGCCUGACGGAGCAACGCCGCGUGAGUGAUGAAGGUCUUCGGAUCGUAAAAAGAUGGGAUUAGGGAAGAACAAAUGUGUAAGUAACUAUGCACGUCUUGACGGUACCUAAUCAGAAAGCAAAGGAGAACUACGGG
RNAcentral lists this ribosomal RNA (497 nucleotides) under uncultured bacterium. RNAcentral describes it as "partial 16S ribosomal RNA". It matches the Rfam family "Bacterial small subunit ribosomal RNA", at positions 28 to 507 of the family's 1533-position model. The record is from RNAcentral.